This 405-nucleotide long non-coding RNA is filed under the name Oryzias sinensis (Chinese medaka). RNAcentral's name for it is "lncRNA (ENSOSIG00000001078.1)". Lineage: Eukaryota; Metazoa; Chordata; Actinopteri; Beloniformes; Adrianichthyidae. The record is from RNAcentral.
CAAAAGGCGGUAGCAGAAAACCUGAGUGCCGGCUGUCCCUUAAAGGACAGAUAUUUUAAACCUCCUGUUGGGUCUGCAUGGAGUUUGUUGGAAAAGGUUAUUUCUGGAUUGUUUGUUUCAUUUCUUAAUGAGAUCCCAUUUCUUAUCUGCAGGUCUCAGUGGCAGAGAGGAAACGGCGUGUACUUGAAGUCGGACACACCUCACCUUUCCUUCCACUUUCCACUUGAGGUUUCCUCCUGGAGCAUCCUGACUCCUCUGGCUGCAGGUCAGGCGCUGCAGAGACUGUCUCCGCCUUCAGGCCCGGUACCAGGCUCCACCGCCCCGCCGGGCCUGUCGGGAGGAGAACCAGGACAGGAUGCCGCCCCCCUCCUAUAGCCCCCCAUCCUCUGGGAGCAGCCGUGAGGC